UCCGGCUAACUUCGUGCCAGCAGCCGCGGUAAUACGAAGGGACCUAGCGUAGUUCGGAAUUACUGGGCUUAAAGAGUUCGUAGGUGGUUAAAAAAGUUGAUGGUGAAAUCCCAGAGCUUAACUCUGGAACUGCCAUCAAAACUUUUUAGCUAGAGUAUGAUAGAGGAAAGCAGAAUUUCUAGUGUAGAGGUGAAAUUCGUAGAUAUUAGAAAGAAUACCAAUUGCGAAGGCAGCUUUCUGGAUCAUUACUGACGCUGAGGAACGAAAGCAUGGGUAGCGAAGAGGAUUAGAUACUCUCGUAGUCCAUGCCGUAAACGAUGUGUGUUAGACGUUGGAAAUUUAUUUUCAGUGUCGCAGUGAAAACAAUAAACACACCGCCUGGGGAGUACGACCGCAAGGUUAAAACUCAAAUGAAUUGACGGGGACCCGCACAAGUAGUGGAGCAUGUGGUUUAAUUCGAAGAUACGCGCAGAACCUUACCAACACUUGACAUGUUCGUCGCGACUCUAAGAGAUUAGAGUUUUCGGUUCGGCCGGACGAAACACAGGUGCUGCAUGGCUGUCGUCAGCUCGUGUCGUGAGAUGUUGGGUUAAGUCCCGCAACGAGCGCAACCCUUACUUUUAGUUGCCAUCAUUUAGUUGGGCACUCUGAAAGAACUGCCAGUGAUAAGCUGGAGGAAGGUGGGGAUGACGUCAAGUCCUCAUGGCCCUUACGUGUUGGGCUACACACGUGCUACAAUGGUAUCUACAACAGGAAGCAAAACAGCGAUGUUAAGCAAAUCCCGAAAAGAUACCUCAGUUCGGAUUGCACUCUGCAACUCGAGUGCAUGAAGCUGGAAUUACUAGUAAUCGUGGAUCAGCGUGCCACGGUGAAUACGUUCCCGGGUCUUGUACACACCGCCCGUCACACCAUGGGAGUUGGUUCUACCUUAAGGCAAAGCUUAAA
This 945-nucleotide ribosomal RNA is filed under the name uncultured prokaryote. Its description in RNAcentral is "bacterial SSU rRNA". It matches the Rfam family "Bacterial small subunit ribosomal RNA", at positions 492 to 1438 of the family's 1533-position model. The record is from RNAcentral.